UACGUAGGUGGCAAGCGUUACUCGGAAUCACUAGGCGUAAAGCGCAGGUAGGAGGUUCGAUAAGUCUGUUGUGAAAGCUCCCGGCUUAACUGGGAGAGGUCAACGGAAACUGUCGAGCUAGAGUGUGGUAGAGGUAGCUGGAAUUCCCGGUGUAGCGGUGAAAUGCGUAGAUAUCGGGAGGAAUACCUAUGGCGAAAGCAGGCUACUGGACCAUCACUGACUCUGAUCUGCGAAAGCUAGGGGAGCAAACAGG
Molecule: ribosomal RNA, 253 nt
Filed under: uncultured bacterium
Lineage: Bacteria
Description: partial 16S ribosomal RNA
Rfam family: Bacterial small subunit ribosomal RNA
Source: RNAcentral